AGUGGCUCAUUCACCUGGUUAAGACAGCCCUGCGAAAGCGGUCAAGUGCUUCUUAACAACCCGAAUGACGCACAAAACGGUGCCUGCCGUCCAAAAAAACCGAUAACAGACCUUCAGUGGCUUUAUCAAGCAUCGGACGCAACGUUGAGCCAGGCACCACCUC
RNAcentral lists this small RNA (163 nucleotides) under Erwinia mallotivora. Its description in RNAcentral is "Glm Y RNA activator of glmS mRNA". It matches the Rfam family "Glm Y RNA activator of glmS mRNA". From Rfam's summary of the family: This family consists of a number of bacterial RNA genes of around 167 bases in length. The function of this RNA is unknown. The record is from Rfam by way of RNAcentral. Lineage: Bacteria; Pseudomonadati; Pseudomonadota; Gammaproteobacteria; Enterobacterales; Erwiniaceae.